UGUUGAAGGUCGAGUUAAUUAUGACGGUAGUAGAUGAAAGCAAUAAUGAUCUGAGAAUAACUGACCGUCCCUAGAGCAAGUUGCAAAGGAUUUGAUGGUUGGUACCUGAGACCUAAGUUCGAAUCCUAGUUGAUUCACAUUUCCAGCUAAGUUUAUUUCUAAAUGAAAUAAAGGAAGCAGGUAGCGCGCUACCUAUCACUCAAAAAAAAAAUAAUGAUUUGAGAUUUAUAUAUAUU
Molecule: long non-coding RNA, 236 nt
Filed under: Ananas comosus (pineapple)
Lineage: Eukaryota; Viridiplantae; Streptophyta; Magnoliopsida; Poales; Bromeliaceae
Description: long non-coding RNA (ACOM_LNC026766)
Source: RNAcentral